Molecule: ribosomal RNA, 491 nt
Filed under: uncultured bacterium
Lineage: Bacteria
Description: partial 16S ribosomal RNA
Rfam family: Bacterial small subunit ribosomal RNA
Source: RNAcentral
AGUGAACGCUGGCGGUAGGCCUAACACAUGCAAGUCGAACGGCAGCACAGUAAGAGCUUGCUCUUACGGGUGGCGAGUGGCGGACGGGUGAGGAAUACAUCGGAAUCUACUUUUUCGUGGGGGAUAACGUAGGGAAACUUACGCUAAUACCGCAUACGACCUACGGGUGAAAGCAGGGGAUCUUCGGACCUUGCGCGAUUGAAUGAGCCGAUGUCGGAUUAGCUAGUUGGCGGGGUAAAGGCCCACCAAGGCGACGAUCCGUAGCUGGUCUGAGAGAAUGAUCAGCCACACUGGAACUGAGACACGGUCCAGACUCCUACGGGAGGCAGCAGUGGGGAAUAUUGGACAAUGGGCGCAAGCCUGAUCCAGCAUACCGCGUGGGUGAAGAAGGCCUUCGGGUUGUAAAGCCCUUUUGUUGGGAAAGAAAAGCAGCAGGUUAAUACCCCGCUGUUCUGACGGUACCCAAAGAAUAAGCACCGGCUAACUUCGUG